This is a long non-coding RNA of Astatotilapia calliptera (eastern happy), 475 nucleotides long. The record is from Ensembl. NCBI's taxonomy places the organism in Eukaryota, Metazoa, Chordata, Actinopteri, Cichliformes, Cichlidae.
UGAAUCCACAUGCAUCUGCCUUCAAUCCUUCGUCUUUUGGAGCAUCGUCUUUUCACACUUUCUACAUCAUUAAACCUGUGGACAAAGAGUAAUGGUCUUCAGAGUCUUGAUGGAAGAAAAGUGUUGAACCUUGCUGCCGGUUCCUCUUCUGUGCAGUGUGAAGAGGGAAAGACAGUACACCCUGGCUGCACCAGUCUGUAUGCCAAACAUCACUGAAUGUGUGAAUGUUAGCUAGAAAGCACUUACACAGAGAAGGCUUAUAAAAAGUGCUUGUAUAAAGGGUGAAGGAGGCAAGUCGUGUAUAGUGCUUCGAGUGGUCAGACUAAAAGCGCUGUGUAAGAACCAUCUACGUCUAUCUGGCCGAGGCCUUUACAUGUGGAGUUCACUCCGGCUUCCUCCCACGGUCAAACAUCCAGGUAGUGAGGACAGGUUAACUGAUGUUCACACAAACAUCGGAGUAGUUUCUGUGGUUCCC